AUGCAGAUGGACUCCUACUACUUCCACGACGACGCCCACCUCUUCGCCGGCUGCGGCGUCCCCGGCUCGCCGGACCUGCCCUUCGCCGACCUCAUUGCGUCGCUCUCGGAGCCGCUGCCUGCGGUGGUAGAGAGCCAGAGCGCGUUCCGGGAGUACCGCGGCGUCGGCCUGGAGCUUCCGGGGACGGCCCGGGGAGGAACCGGGAACGGGAUCAACAUCCACCGGAGGAUGAUGGGCGUGCUGGGCAGGAUGGGGCCGGCCGCUGAGGAGGAGGAGCGGCCGCAGCACCAGCAGCAGCAGGCGGCCGGCGCCGUCGAGAGCAGCCGCGGGUUCCGGCACAUGAUGCGCGAGCGCCAGCGCCGCGAGAAGCUCAGCCAGAGCUACGCCGACCUCUACGCCAUGGUCUCCUCCCGCUCCAAGCAGGACAAGAACUCGAUCGUGCAGUCCGCGGCCGUCUACAUCCACGAGCUCAAGGUCGCCAAGGAGCAGCUCCAGAGGAGGAACGACGAGCUCAAGGCCAAGAUCCUGGGGCACGACGAGCAGCAGCAGUGCGUCAAGGUCCAGUUCGAGGUGGACGAGCCCUCGUCCUCCGUCGACUCCAUGAUCGGGGCCCUCACGCGCCUCAAGAGCAUGAAUGUCAAGACCAGGGGGAUCCACUCCAUCUUGUCCGGCCAGCGGUUGACGACGGAGAUGAAUGUCGAAACCACGAUUGCGGCCUGCGAGGUAGAAAAGGCAGUGGAGGAGGCUCUCCAGGAAGUAGAGAGGAAUCAGCUGCCUGACAGCGAGGCCCCGUUUCCCGGAAGCAGGAGCGCCUGGCCUCAAACAUCACACGUGCAAAAUGUGUUCUGA
Molecule: ribosomal RNA, 849 nt
Filed under: Triticum aestivum (bread wheat)
Lineage: Eukaryota; Viridiplantae; Streptophyta; Magnoliopsida; Poales; Poaceae
Description: partial small subunit ribosomal RNA
Source: RNAcentral